Molecule: transfer RNA, 90 nt
Filed under: Astyanax mexicanus (Mexican tetra)
Lineage: Eukaryota; Metazoa; Chordata; Actinopteri; Characiformes; Acestrorhamphidae
Rfam family: tRNA
About the family: Transfer RNA (tRNA) molecules are approximately 80 nucleotides in length. Their secondary structure includes four short double-helical elements and three loops (D, anti-codon, and T loops). Further hydrogen bonds mediate the characteristic L-shaped molecular structure. tRNAs have two regions of fundamental functional importance: the anti-codon, which is responsible for specific mRNA codon recognition, and the 3' end, to which the tRNAs corresponding amino acid is attached (by aminoacyl-tRNA synthetases). tRNAs cope with the degeneracy of the genetic code in two manners: having more than one tRNA (with a specific anti-codon) for a particular amino acid; and 'wobble' base-pairing, i.e. permitting non-standard base-pairing at the 3rd anti-codon position.
Source: Rfam by way of RNAcentral
GGCUCUGUGGCACAAAGGAUAGUGCAUUCCACUUCUAGAUGAUGAGCUGGAGGUUUUCAAAGGUUGUGAGUUCGAGUCCCACCAGAGCCG